RNAcentral lists this ribosomal RNA (247 nucleotides) under uncultured soil bacterium. RNAcentral's name for it is "partial 16S ribosomal RNA". It matches the Rfam family "Bacterial small subunit ribosomal RNA", at positions 26 to 269 of the family's 1533-position model. The record is from RNAcentral.
AGAUUGAACGCUGGCGGCAUGCCUUACACAUGCAAGUCGAACGGCAGCACGGGAGCAAUCCUGGUGGCGAGUGGCGAACGGGUGAGUAAUACGUCGGAACGUGCCCAAUCGUGGGGGGAUAACGCAGCGAAAGCUGUGCUAAUACCGCAUAAGAUCUACGGAUGAAAGCAGGGGAUCGCAAGACCUUGCGACGAAUGGAGCGGCGAGUGGCAGAGUUAGGUAGUUGGUAGAAGGUAAAGGCUACACC